This 31-nucleotide non-coding RNA is filed under the name Rattus norvegicus (Norway rat). Lineage: Eukaryota; Metazoa; Chordata; Mammalia; Rodentia; Muridae. The record is from RNAcentral.
UAUAAAGGCACGAUUUCCUACCUACCUACCU